GAUGAACGCUGGCGGCGUGCGUAAUACAUGCAAGUCGAACGCACUGCGAAAGGUGCUUGCACCUUUCAAGUGAGUGGCGAACGGGUGAGUAACACGUGGACAACUUGCUUCAAGCCUGGGGAUAACAUUUGGAAACAGAUGUUAAUACCGAAUACAACUCAGUGUCGCAUGACACAAAGUUAAAAGGCGCUUUGGCGUCACUUAGAGAUGGAUCCGCGGUGCAUUAGUUAGUUGGUGGGGUAAAGGCCUACCAAGACAAUGAUGCAUAGCCGAGUUGAGAGACUGAUCGGCCACAUUGGGACUGAGACACGGCCCAAACUCCUACGGGAGGCUGCAGUAGGGAAUCUUCCACAAUGGGCGAAAGCCUGAUGGAGCAACGCCGCGUGUGUGAUGAAGGCUUUCGGGUCGUAAAGCACUGUUGUAUGGGAAGAACAGCUAGAAUAGGGAAUGAUUUUAGUUUGACGGUAUCAUACCAGAAAGGGACGGCUAAAUACGUGCCAGCAGCCGCGGUAAUACGUAUGUCCCGAGCGUUAUCCGGAUUUAUUGGGCGUAAAGCGAGCGCAGACGGUUGAUUAAGUCUGAUGUGAAAGCCCGGAGCUCAACUCCGGAAUGGCAUUGGAAACUGGUUAACUUGAGUGCAGUAGAGGUAAGUGGAACUCCAUGUGUAGCGGUGGAAUGCGUAGAUAUAUGGAAGAACACCAGUGGCGAAGGCGGCUUUCUGGACUGUAACUGACGUUGAGGCUCGAAAGUGUGGGUAGCAAACAGGAUUAGAUACCCUGGUAGUCCACACCGUAAACGAUGAAUACUAGGUGUUAGGAGGUUUCCGCCUCU
RNAcentral lists this ribosomal RNA (831 nucleotides) under Leuconostoc pseudomesenteroides. RNAcentral's name for it is "bacterial SSU rRNA". It matches the Rfam family "Bacterial small subunit ribosomal RNA", at positions 28 to 840 of the family's 1533-position model. The record is from RNAcentral. Lineage: Bacteria; Bacillati; Bacillota; Bacilli; Lactobacillales; Lactobacillaceae.